This 2339-nucleotide long non-coding RNA is filed under the name Triticum aestivum (bread wheat). RNAcentral's name for it is "long non-coding RNA (TAES_LNC007178)". The record is from RNAcentral. Lineage: Eukaryota; Viridiplantae; Streptophyta; Magnoliopsida; Poales; Poaceae.
CCCCCUCUAGACACCUCUUCUCGAUACUUUCAGUUGGUAUCAGAGCUUUGGUCUCCAUUGCUUUGGUUUAAACACCACUAGUGGACCUAUUGCGCCAAAUGGCGCAGAGGCACGCUAAAUCCAUGUGCGCGAUGAAAAAAAAUAUCCAUGGUUUAAUCCCCUUGAAUAGGAAACAUGGUGGAUUGUUGUCUACAAUGAUAUAUAUAUAUAUGUAUACACAUUUCAAUUUGAUAGUACAAAAUACAUGCUACCAUGUUUGCAGAGACCCAUUUGAAAUCAUGUUCGUAGAUGGCAUAGAUACCCACUAACACCAUGUGUUCUUUGAAAAAAAAAUCCAUGUAUCAAUGGACUUGUUCAUGGGCAAGCAUGUAUGACAACUUAAACAUCAGAAGCAAGUAUGGUGAACAAAAUUACCCGUGCACCAAAUAAAAGGGGGAGAAGUGAACAUGAGGCUAUGAGAUGAUCCCCAAGUUUCAACUUAGAUGUCUGUUUCUAUUACAUGAGAUCUCCGUAAGCUAUAUAUAUGCUACCAACUAUAGAAAACAAGUACUUAUUAUGUUGAAAAAAUCAGUCCAGCCAUUCGUGUAUAAGAAUUUUUUAAAGACCAUCAGGCAAGACACUUGCACUGCUGUACAAUGGUAUCAGGUUUCAGCCAAGGGGCUAGAUCUAACUGCUGCAGGAGGGGACAACACAGAGGCCAUUUCCUUGCAUCACGAAUAAAUGGGCCAAGGAGACACAAGCAGCCCAGAGGCCACACUGGUAUCAAAAAAUAAGACGGUUAGCAGAGGGAAUAAAACUUCAAAAAGGAAACAAAAAAUGGGCAAUCCAAAAAGAGAAAAACGACUGCAUGUUACAAAGCAGUAUUAUCACACAUAGAAGAGCAAACAAUAACUGAUCCCGCGGAGAGCAAGCAAUAACUGAACAAUAUACACACAUAUAAUAAGGUAGGGUUCACUUCAUAAUAUAGGGGAGUUUUAGUUUUAUCUUGCGUUGACACAGCCACUCGAGCAGUCAAAGACUCUAGUUUUAUAGCAUGCUUAAUAAGAAGCAUUUAGUUACAGGAAAGCAUUCAUGAACCCACACCAGGUCGAGCUCCAAAAAACUCUCGCCGAGGCACUCCACCAGAACCAUCCCCAGGAAGCACAAGCUCCACCCAGCAAGGACAGAGCCAUCUUCUGCAACCUCACACAGGUGCAAAAGGGAUGGCAAAGCGCACUCGGCCACCAUAGCCUCCAAAAUAGGAAUAACAACCCAAAAAAACGCACACAUCCUGCUGGCAUGCAAGAACGAAAUAUAUAAUAAAGUACACGACACCCAGCCAUGUCCGGAACAAACGAUUAGGAGUCUAUAGAACAUGAAAGCACACACAGAAAGUAGAGCAGCAAGACAGGAAGAGAUCAAAACAACAAACCUUGACGCGACCCAACGAGCAGAAUGAAGACGCGACGAUGAGCUAAACGGAGAUUCUGCACCAAAUCAGCAAGAUGGAACAACCUGUAAAAUAGAAAGGGAAAUAAUCAGAACAGAACAACGGCAUGCAAAUGCAACUAUAUAGGAACUAUAAAAAAAUAAACCAAUUGUACCGAAAGAUAAAAGAUCACACGCCAUCGUCAAAUAACCAGUCCAUAAAGAUCAUUAGUACUACAUAAGAGAUCAGAAGACAGGAGAAAGCAACGAGCACUGAAAGCACACUGUGCUGCAAUGGUAUUCCAAAAUAGGCGCAACGAUGGAAACAAAAGCAUCAGCAUCAUCAUAUCCUCAUACAAGCCGCAGUAACUAACACCGCGAACCAUGCACAACUAACGCAAGAUGAAAACACACGACAACAUUCAUCGAGCAAUCCUCGCGCAUUUCAUCAAACACCUAACAGUCAUGCACCCAUAGAGAAGCAGAGAAAGCGCGCACUAACCUGGACAGCAAGGACAGAACAAGCCACACUCCUACGAAGGAGCCAACGCAAAAUCCAAGGAAGCUGCGCACGAAGGGAGCAAAUGGAAAUAGACCAGCUCAGCAAAUCGUAGAAACAACAAACAACGGCAGGAAAGAACCGGAGGAGCAGAAUAGAAAGAACCUCAACCGACAGCACCAAUGGAGGAACGGGUGGCCAUGGUGCAGAGCCGGAGGAUAGGGCGUUCGAACAAAACGGAGCGAGGCGACGAAGAGAGCAUGCAGCGAGUGGGUGAAGCGAGCGUGCACAGAAUGAGAAGCAGGAGAAGAAGAAAUGGAGGAAAUUGAGGAGAAAAGGAGGCCCUUGCCCACCGCAACGGCACACCAAACUCACACAGAGCAGCAUUGGAACCCACGAAGCAAACACCAACACGCGGCAUGCGUGGGGCCAG